Molecule: ribosomal RNA, 404 nt
Filed under: Fusobacteriota bacterium
Lineage: Bacteria; Fusobacteriati; Fusobacteriota
Description: Fusobacteria bacterium partial 16S ribosomal RNA
Rfam family: Bacterial small subunit ribosomal RNA
Source: RNAcentral
UGGGGAAUAUUGCACAAUGGAGGGAACUCUGAUGCAGCGACGCCGCGUGAGUGAUGAAGGAAUUCGUUUCGUAAAACUCUGUUCUAUGGGAAGAAAAGGACUGUACCAUAGGAGAAAGCUCCGGCUAAAUACGUGCCAGCAGCCGCGGUAAUACGUAUGGAGCGAGCGUUGUCCGGAAUUAUUGGGCGUAAAGGGUGCGCAGGCGGCUUUACAAGUUGGAUGUGAAAUAUUGUGGCUCAACCACAAACGUGCAUCCAAAACUGCAAAGCUUGAGUUAAGGAGAGGGAAGUGGAAUUCCUGGUGUAGCGGUGGAAUGCGUAGAUAUCAGGAGGAAUACCGGUGGCAAAGGCGACUUACUGGACAUAAACUGACGCUCAGGCACGAAAGCGUGGGGAGCAAACAGG